This 99-nucleotide transfer-messenger RNA is filed under the name Rheinheimera sp. RNAcentral describes it as "partial transfer-messenger RNA". It matches the Rfam family "transfer-messenger RNA", at positions 1 to 101 of the family's 374-position model. Rfam says of the family: Bacterial tmRNA, also known as 10Sa RNA or SsrA, is named for its dual tRNA and mRNA-like properties. Lineage: Bacteria; Pseudomonadati; Pseudomonadota; Gammaproteobacteria; Chromatiales; Chromatiaceae. The record is from RNAcentral.
GGGGCUGAUACUGGAUUCGACGGGAUUCACGAACUCCUAAGUGCAUGCCGAGGGGCGGUUGGCCUCGUAAAAAGCCGCAAAAAAGUAGUCGCAAACGAC